UACGUAGGGCGCAAGCGUUGUCCGGAAUUAUUGGGCGUAAAGAGCUCGUAGGCGGUCUGUUACGUCCGCUGUGAAAACUCGGGGCUUAACCCCGAGCCUGCAGUGGAUACGGGCAGACUAGAGGUAGGUAGGGGAGAAUGGAAUUCCCGGUGUAGCGGUGAAAUGCGCAGAUAUCGGGAGGAACACCGGUGGCGAAGGCGGUUCUCUGGGCCUGUACUGACGCUGAGGAGCGAAAGCGUGGGGAGCGAACAGG
This 253-nucleotide ribosomal RNA is filed under the name uncultured bacterium. RNAcentral's name for it is "partial 16S ribosomal RNA". It matches the Rfam family "Bacterial small subunit ribosomal RNA", at positions 524 to 776 of the family's 1533-position model. The record is from RNAcentral.